AUGGAUGGAUGCAUGGAUGGAUGGAUGGCUGGCUGGCUGGAUGGAUGGAUGCAUGGUUGGCUGGAUGGAUGGAUGGAGGCCCUCAUCACUGUGCGGGUUGUUUUAGUUGCUUCAUGCCCCCUCCUCCCCCCCUCAACACACACAUGCACUCCCCUUUAACCCCUCCGCUCCGUACAGUACCGUCACCCCUCGUGUGGAAAAAACGCAAAAGCAGCAGUCUAAGAAAAACAGGGAGGGCGAUCGAGGCCGCGGAGAGAAAGAGAGAGCUCGCUCGCUGUGAAAACACUCGACCUGCCGAUGAAUGAGACUUCCCCCGGCGGACUGAUCCCGUGUUUGGUCUGACGGAGACAGAGCGGAUGAAUGGGUGAGUGUGAGAAAAAGAGAGAGAGAGAGAGAGAGAGAGAGAGAGAGAGGUGGGAGGGGCCACAAAAUCCAGGCGAGUCGUGGAUUUUUUUUCUGAUGACGUUUAUUUGUUGUUUCUGUAGUUUUCUCUCGUCAGGACAAAGAAACGUACGUACGUGUGAACGCCGAUCGAUACCCGGACGUUUGCUCGCGAGCCGCGAUGGCAGGCGGGAGGUCAAAGGUCACCAGAGAGUUAAAGAUCUGCACACACGGGAGGAGGGUCUUUGUGUGGGAGUAAAUGGAAGAGCUGAAUUUAAGCUGCUGGAGAUCUUUUAUUAAAACAACCUUCCCUUCCCAGCAUGCAUCACUGAGGAUUCAUCUGUUACACAUAGACGAGGACGAAUGAUGCAUGAAUGAUUUCCCUAAAACGCAUCGGUCACUCAUCAGGCGGCCGAUCUGUAAUCUGUAAUCUGUUCAUGUCUGAAAUGAAAUGAAUGAGUCUGACGUGUUGGUCUCAGUUAGUGAGCGACGGCCUUCGGGAUCCAGUCAGAGGUCCCUGGGGGGGUCGCCGCGGGCCGAGGGUCGGCGGCGUAGGACGACGUGUCGUUUUCUCUCUGUACUCUGGUGUGAAGUUUAAAAAGGAUAUUUGUACACCUCUACUCUCUUCUUCUAUUCCUUCCCUAAUCUCUUUUGUAAUCUCAUUAUCCCCUCGAUGACUCUGGGGACCUUCGUUGAGGCGGGGUCACGACCUCUGCUGAGUGUGUGUGUGUGUGUGUGUGUUUUGGGGGUUAAGCCAGAGGUCAGGAGGUCAUAACUGUGUCACACAGCAGGAACAAAGUACAGUGUCUCAUGUGAAAAAUGUUGACUUUUAAUACUGAAACAGGGAAAUAAAAGGCAGCUUUUGUGGCCUCCCUCCUCCGUUCCUCCUUACUUCCUCCUUUCCUUCUCUCGUAUGUCUCCUUUUUACUUAUUUCCUGCUAGGAAUCCUUCCUCUCCUGUGACUCAGAUAUUCACCUUUUUAUUUUCAAACCUUAAUAACGACAUAAUCCCAAGUUUCACCCCAUGAAUGCACAUAACAUGAGAGCAACAAGUUCUCACACGUCGUGUGAUUCAGUUGUUAUGAAGAAACGUGAUUCAUUCCUUGACUUUUCUUUUUGUUGUUUGACCCCCAACUUGAUGCCGUCCACCUUCCUUCUGUUGUAGGAACAGAAAAUUCCAUCUCUAACAUCCAACGAGUCAGCGUGAUGCGAUUUGCCCGUGAAUGAAUGGAUCAAACUGGUCGGCCUUCCCGUAAUCUUAUUUAUUUUUUAUCACCGGGAGGAAAAGAAGAAGAAUGCUGUUAGUCACUCUGCUAUCGAGUUACGCAGCAGCCUGAACUUCAUCCAAUUCAAACACACACACACACACACACACACACACACACACACACACACACACAAUUCCUCCCAGCCAAUGAGCAGCGAGCGCGGAGCGACACAAACGGUAUUCCAUUCAUUCCAGAGCGCUGAGCGUCCAACGGCUGCUUUGGUGUUUCCUUUUCUCCCUCCCGUCCGUCCCUCCCUCGCCCUCUCUGCUGUGUGUGUGUGUGUGGGGGGGGGGAAGAAAGGGGUGGGGGGUUGGAAUGUGCGGUGGGAUGUGAGUAACUUCCUGUUUUUACUUUGUUAAGUACAUCCCCUGUGGGGUUUCACAUCAUGUGUGUGGGAGAUCGGCGGGGAGAAGGACGGUUGGGAAUGAGAUGCAGCAACAUGUGGCCAAAAGUAAAAAGACACCCCGACAUUCCGGCCUAAUGUGAUGUUUGAAGUUAUCGCGGUGCAUCAAUCUGCCCCCCCGAUGGGUUCAGGUUCCUCACCAGAUGUCCUGGUUCUUGGACUCGUCCAGUCCGACGCGUGUUGUGACUUCAGCCGCGCUUACGUUCUCACGAGGCGCCAUUUUCAACAUGAUCUGAGAAAAAUAUGUUGAUCGACAGUUUGUGUUUGUGUGGUCAUUCAUGUGACACAAUGUCGAAAAGUUUUGUGUGCUGAAGAAUGUUUUUAUACUUGUUUCUUCCAUGUGAUACGGUCGACUUUCUGAGGAUCAUCUGGCCGUGUUUUCUAGAUACAGACGGUGCUGCUGUUAAAGUGUGAAAUACCUGCGUGUGGAUGUUAUAUGUACAUGAGGGCUUUUAUUGUGAAAGGAGAGACCAGAAGGAGAGGAUCGUGUCGGUUGAAAAGAUCAAUAAAGGUUUCCGUCUUGUUGAUGACGCAGCUUAUUCGCCAAAAAACAAUAAAUCAACAGUUUGAAGAAAAAUGUUGCGUGUGAAAUACAAAUACAAAAUAGUAAAAUCACAAUAACAAUUUUGAAUUCCUUGCUCGUGUUCCAUGAACUUUGACCUCUACAGUUUGGGUUAAUUGAGGCAUUUUGCUAAAGGUUGGAUGGGGUCAAAGGUCACCACGCAAGCGAACUGUCCGCAGGGCGGCGGCGACGUGUGUGCAGCACAAACACGCAGCCCACUAAACGCUGAUUAGCAUGUCAAUUAUUCCAACGCCGGUUAGCUAUUAGCGCGCAGAGCUAACGUCUGUGUUUGUUUUACAGAGACAUGUAUGUAAAUACGUCCACUCCGUGUAAACGGCGCGUUAAAUAGGCGGUUAGUGGGCGAGACCACCAGACGGAGGAUCACCAGAAGCUCCUUCAGUACAUCCUCCAGCAGAGACCAGUCCACUGAGGACAGACCCACAUCCUCCAGCAGAGACCAGUCCACUGAGGACAGACCCACAUCCUCCAGCAGAGACCAGUCCACCGAGGACAGACCCGAAUCCUCCAGCAGAGACCAGUCCACCGAGGACAAGACCCACAUCCUCCAGCAGAGACCAGUCCACCGAGGACAGACCCGAAUCCUCCAGCAGAGACCAGUCCACCGAGGACAAGACCCACAUCCUCCAGCAGAGACCAGUCCACCGAGGACAGACCCACAUCCUCCAGCAGAGACCAGUCCACCGAGGACAGACCCACAUCCUCCAGCAGAGACCAGUCCACCGAGGACAGACCCACAUCCUCCAGCAGAGACCAGUCCACCGAGGACAGACCCGAAUCCUCCAGCAGAGACCAGUCCACCGAGGACAGACCCGAAUCCUCCAGCAGAGACCAGUCCACCGAGGACAGACCCACAUCCUCCAGCAGAGACCAGUCCACCGAGGACAGACCCGAAUCCUCCAGCAGAGACCAGUCCACCGAGGACAGACCCGAAUCCUGCAGCAGAGACCAGUCCACCGAGGACAAGACCCACAUCCUCCAGCAGAGACCAGUCCACCGAGGGACAGACCCACAUCCGGGCUCCACCGCAGUUCUCGGACCUGCAGUCGGCGCACCCGGACUCUGCUCCCGGUAGCGUCUCCUCCUCCUCCAGGA
This is a long non-coding RNA of Gasterosteus aculeatus aculeatus (three-spined stickleback), 3726 nucleotides long. The record is from Ensembl. NCBI's taxonomy places the organism in Eukaryota, Metazoa, Chordata, Actinopteri, Perciformes, Gasterosteidae.